CCUACGGGAGGCAGCAGUGAGGAAUAUUGGUCAAUGGACGAGAGUCUGAACCAGCCAAGUAGCGUCAAGGAUGACUGCCCUAUGGGUUGUAAACUUCUUUUAUAUGGGAAUAAAACGUUCCACGUGUGGGAUUUUGUAUGUACCAUAUGAAUAAGGAUCGGCUAACUCCGUGCCAGCAGCCGCGGUAAUACGGAGGAUCCGAGCGUUAUCCGGAUUUAUUGGGUUUAAAGGGAGCGUAGGUGGAUUGUUAAGUCAGUUGUGAAAGUUUGCGGCUCAACCGUAAAAUUGCAGUUGAAACUGGCAGUCUUGAGUACAGUAGAGGUGGGCGGAAUUCGUGGUGUAGCGGUGAAAUGCUUAGAUAUCACGAAGAACUCCGAUUGCGAAGGCAGUUCACUGGACUGCAACUGACACUGAGGCUCGAAAGUGUGGGUAUCAAACAGGAUUAGAUACCCCUGUAGUC
This 460-nucleotide ribosomal RNA is filed under the name uncultured bacterium. RNAcentral's name for it is "partial 16S ribosomal RNA". It matches the Rfam family "Bacterial small subunit ribosomal RNA", at positions 338 to 795 of the family's 1533-position model. The record is from RNAcentral.